CCACGUCGGACUAUAAAAUCGUCCAAUAAGAGGUCUCUAUUUUGACAUGUCACUAUGGCUGUGGAUUAUUCAUUUACGGAAUGGGCUGCAAUUCAUUUACGGUAAACUUAAUUAUGAUGAGCCCAUAAGCCCACUCCAACACUAACCCUAAGAUGUUGUCGUUGCUACAUGUUUCCUUCCCUACAACUCAGUCGUCUCAACUUCCCUUGGUUCUCUCCUUCCUUGCAACUUCAGAGUAAAUGAAAACCUUAUGACUAUUAAAUGGAAGAUUUCGUAAUCGUAUAGAUAUGUAUUUAGUUCGAUUGGUAACGUUCAUGCCGAAGAUGAACGGUUUGGAACUCCUAUAUAAAACGAAAUCGAAAACCGCUACUCUUCCAUUUCAUUUUGCGGUAUCAGAUCCCAGAGAGCCGCUUUAUUUGCCUGAAGGGUCUGUCUACUUUCAGAUUAGAAACCCAGAGCCGAUUGUAACUGAUGGAAACUUCACGCCUCUUCCCUCGCCGAUUCUGCCGGCGUAAGAGAAAUGCAAGAGGCCGUCAUCGUGGUGUUUGAUCGCUGUGUGAUAAGAAGGUCCACUGACUAAGACGAGGAAGACAACUUGAUGGUAAAAUGGAAAUGUUGCACGAGAUCCCUUAGGAGACUUUCAGCCAAAGGCGUUUAAUUUUUGAGUUUUAUGUGGACGUUUUAGUUUAAAUCAAGAGAAUCUAAAUCCUUCCGAUCACUAUGAAUCCAUGCUUUGGUAAGUCUUUUCUGGCUCCCUCUGUGUGUGUUUAUAAUAAUUUAUAGACAUUUUCAUAAUUUUUGAAGAUAUUUUUGAUGUAUUUUUCAUGUAGCAGUUUAUAAGAGUUCCUCUAAUAUAUGUUGAAGACAGAUGGAUAUUUGUGUUUGCUGUUUAGAUGAGCGACUAGCCGACUACGACACCGUACGCGUGAAGUUCUGGUGAUCUAAUUCCAGUUCACGUUAACUUAGCGGAGGAGAGAGCUUUGGAGAAGCUGAUGCUCUGCAACGGUGACACAUGGCAGGAGAAGUUGAGGAGGGGUUCGUUUAACUCGCUCCACCGAGUUUUCUCGAGUCAGUUGCCCCAGAGACGUAUUGGCCCCAGAGACGUUUGGCGCUAUGUCGGUCGUCCACAUCCUCUUCCCAACUCAUAUAAUCGUUGCUGAUUGCACAAAUCCAUAACCUCUCUUUGACAGGGAAAACUGUGCCACUUUUGUUCA
Molecule: long non-coding RNA, 1214 nt
Organism: Raphanus sativus (radish)
Lineage: Eukaryota; Viridiplantae; Streptophyta; Magnoliopsida; Brassicales; Brassicaceae
Exons: 3
Source: RefSeq, a predicted model, not a curated record